CACAGAUAAACAUAUACCUAGUUCCUUCCUGAAAUACCAGAAAUUGCAAGCUUGUCAAAUUGUGAUUAAUGAGGAUUUACUGGAUAUCAACAUAUGAGUCUUCGAUAAGAUGACCAUCCCCUGUAAAUUGUGGCACGUGUUCUCCAUGGCUACAUAGAUAGAAAAAACAAGAUGCAAAUGGAGGGACAUUACCUGGCAGGCCAACAUCCGUUUUAGGACACCAAGGAUAUCGUCCUUCUGCCUGCUGAAAAUCAUGGAAUUAAAAAGAUAUAGAGUCCAUUCUGAGAAAUUCAAUUUCAUCAAAUGGAAAGUGAAAGCAUCUCCAAUUCUAUAUAUACACUGAAGCCUUCAUGCCCCAUUUACACUACUUGUAUCGAAUCCCGUAAUAGGUUUCUGCCUAUUGAGUCCAAAUAAAUGGUGGUUA
Molecule: long non-coding RNA, 424 nt
Filed under: Homo sapiens (human)
Lineage: Eukaryota; Metazoa; Chordata; Mammalia; Primates; Hominidae
Description: non-protein coding LINC02294:10
Source: RNAcentral